UUUUCUUUGUUACGUCCUUUUGUAAUCUAUAUUAUUUACUAAUCUCUAUAGAGAAAGAAUGCUGGAUUGUUGAUAAGAAGCAAUCUGAACGGCGUAACUUACCAAACUGUCUUCUUCAUCCUGCGAUUAAGAUAAGGUAUUACAUUUGCAUGAAUCCUUUGCACUUAUGCUUAUAAAACCUCGUCAAAUUAAAGGACAAAUAGCGCCAAAUAGAGAAGCGACAGCACAAGGACAGAGCUAUAUGAUUAUGUCGGAAUACGUACCCGCUACCUAUUAGCUUUAGAAUAUUUUGCGGAAGAACAAUACCCCUCGGACAUGUAGGUUUCUACAUGCUUUGUAGCAGUAGGCAGCCAGGAGCUUUUUGAAUAAACAAACUACAUUCAUUAGUUUUAUGUGUUUAAAAUUUUCAUAGAUUUAUUGUAGUUUUCUAGCCCACUGAACAGUUUUUUUGCUGGUAAUAGGUUAAAAUAUAAGUAAAAUGUGUUAUCAAUGGUUUAUGUUUGGCGACUUAAGCGAAAAUUUAUUUUAAAACUGGACUUAUAACACUAUCUUCAAAAGAAUUAUGGAGAGUAUUCUGUUUGUUCACGCAGUAAUCUUUCUUCAGACAAAGAGUAUCUAGCAUCAUGGGUUAUAGCAUCUACUGGACCUUUCUCAACCUGAUGUUUGAUUGCACUGAACAAAAGAAAAAGGGAACCACCGGCCUGAUCCUGAAAUUUAAGCUUGUGAGCUUUUAUGCCUCAGAGCAGCAAGUAUGCCAAGAAUAAGAAGCAUAAGUAUGGCACCCCCAGCUGCGAUCCCUCCUAUAGCUUCUGGUGGGAACUCUGACGUUUUAGCAACUUCGUAUCGCAGCAAUUAAAGGUUAUGUGAGGAGACUGCAAAACUUGACCUUCAUCUGAUAUAUAUUUAGGACUCUAAGUAAUGAUAUGUAUCUCGGGCUUGAAUUAAAAUUCUUCUAUAUCAGACCUCCAAAAGCAAGCCGGAGCUGAUCUCUAGAAGACAAUGAACAAUUAGUUAACUUUUUUACUAAACUUAAUAACGAAAUGUAAAUAUUUUGCACACCUUUGUUCUGAACAUAAACUGGUUAUGAAA
Molecule: long non-coding RNA, 1089 nt
Organism: Parasteatoda tepidariorum (common house spider)
Lineage: Eukaryota; Metazoa; Arthropoda; Arachnida; Araneae; Theridiidae
Source: RefSeq, a predicted model, not a curated record